This 463-nucleotide ribosomal RNA is filed under the name uncultured bacterium. Its description in RNAcentral is "partial 16S ribosomal RNA". It matches the Rfam family "Bacterial small subunit ribosomal RNA", at positions 28 to 507 of the family's 1533-position model. The record is from RNAcentral.
GAUGAACGCUGACAGAAUGCUUAGCACAUGCAAGUCGAUUGGGAAGUGGUGCUUGCACCAUGGCAACCAUGGCGGACGGGUGAGUAACGCGUAAGGGACUUACCUGCAGGACUGGGAUAACGGGGGGAAACUCCUGACAAGACCGGAUAAUGUCAUGGAGCUGCAUGGCUUUAUGAUGAAAGGAGACGCCUGCGGAGAGCCUUGCGUCCUAUUAGCUAGUUGGUGAGGUAAUGGCUCACCAAGGCGAAGAUAGGUAGCCGGCCUGAGAGGGUGGACGGCCACAAGGGGACUGAGAUACGGCCCUUACUCCUACGGGAGGCAGCAGUGGGGAAUAUUGGACAAUGGGGGCAACCCUGAUCCAGCAAUUCUGUGUGCACGAAGAAGGUUUUCGGAUUGUAAAGUGCUUUCAGCAGGGAAGAAGUAAGUGACGGUACCUGCAGAAGAAGCGACGGCUAAAUACGUG